Molecule: ribosomal RNA, 2693 nt
Filed under: Klebsiella aerogenes
Lineage: Bacteria; Pseudomonadati; Pseudomonadota; Gammaproteobacteria; Enterobacterales; Enterobacteriaceae
Description: partial 23S ribosomal RNA
Rfam family: Bacterial large subunit ribosomal RNA
Source: RNAcentral
CCGGCGAUGUCCGAAUGGGGAAACCCAGUGCAAUUCGUUGCACUAUCGUUAACUGAAUACAUAGGUUAACGAGGCGAACCGGGGGAACUGAAACAUCUAAGUACCCCGAGGAAAAGAAAUCAACCGAGAUUCCCCCAGUAGCGGCGAGCGAACGGGGAGCAGCCCAGAGUCUGAAUCAGCUUGUGUGUUAGUGGAACGGUCUGGAAAGUCCGACGGUACAGGGUGAUAGUCCCGUACACCAAAAUGCACAGGUUGUGAACUCGAAGAGUAGGGCGGGACACGUGGUAUCCUGUCUGAAUAUGGGGGGACCAUCCUCCAAGGCUAAAUACUCCUGACUGACCGAUAGUGAACCAGUACCGUGAGGGAAAGGCGAAAAGAACCCCGGCGAGGGGAGUGAAAAAGAACCUGAAACCGUGUACGUACAAGCAGUGGGAGCACCUUCGGGUGUGACUGCGUACCUUUUGUAUAAUGGGUCAGCGACUUAUAUUCUGUAGCAAGGUUAACCGUAUAGGGGAGCCGCAGGGAAACCGAGUCUUAACUGGGCGUUAAGUUGCAGGGUAUAGACCCGAAACCCGGUGAUCUAGCCAUGGGCAGGUUGAAGGUUGGGUAACACUAACUGGAGGACCGAACCGACUAAUGUUGAAAAAUUAGCGGAUGACUUGUGGCUGGGGGUGAAAGGCCAAUCAAACCGGGAGAUAGCUGGUUCUCCCCGAAAGCUAUUUAGGUAGCGCCUCGUGAAUUCAUCUUCGGGGGUAGAGCACUGUUUCGGCUAGGGGGUCAUCCCGACUUACCAACCCGAUGCAAACUACGAAUACCGAAGAAUGUUAUCACGGGAGACACACGGCGGGUGCUAACGUCCGUCGUGAAGAGGGAAACAACCCAGACCGCCAGCUAAGGUCCCAAAGUCACAGUUAAGUGGGAAACGAUGUGGGAAGGCACAGACAGCCAGGAUGUUGGCUUAGAAGCAGCCAUCAUUUAAAGAAAGCGUAAUAGCUCACUGGUCGAGUCGGCCUGCGCGGAAGAUGUAACGGGGCUAAACUGUGCACCGAAGCUGCGGCAGCGACACUAUGUGUUGUUGGGUAGGGGAGCGUUCUGUAAGCCUGCGAAGGUGGCCUGUGAGGGUUGCUGGAGGUAUCAGAAGUGCGAAUGCUGACAUAAGUAACGAUAAUGCGGGUGAAAAGCCCGCACGCCGGAAGACCAAGGGUUCCUGUCCAACGUUAAUCGGGGCAGGGUGAGUCGACCCCUAAGGCGAGGCCGAAAGGCGUAGUCGAUGGGAAACAGGUUAAUAUUCCUGUACUUGGUGUUACUGCGAAGGGGGGACGGAGAAGGCUAUGUUAGCCGGGCGACGGUUGUCCCGGUUUAAGCAUGUAGGCGGAGGUUCCAGGUAAAUCCGGUACCUUUUUAACGCUGAGGUGUGAUGACGAGGCACUACGGUGCUGAAGUAACAAAUGCCCUGCUUCCAGGAAAAGCCUCUAAGCAUCAGGUAACAUUAAAUCGUACCCCAAACCGACACAGGUGGUCAGGUAGAGAAUACCAAGGCGCUUGAGAGAACUCGGGUGAAGGAACUAGGCAAAAUGGUGCCGUAACUUCGGGAGAAGGCACGCUGAUAUGUAGGUGAAGCCCCUGCGGGUGGAGCUGAAAUCAGUCGAAGAUACCAGCUGGCUGCAACUGUUUAUUAAAAACACAGCACUGUGCAAACACGAAAGUGGACGUAUACGGUGUGACGCCUGCCCGGUGCCGGAAGGUUAAUUGAUGGGGUUAUCCGUAAGGAGAAGCUCUUGAUCGAAGCCCCGGUAAACGGCGGCCGUAACUAUAACGGUCCUAAGGUAGCGAAAUUCCUUGUCGGGUAAGUUCCGACCUGCACGAAUGGCGUAAUGAUGGCCAGGCUGUCUCCACCCGAGACUCAGUGAAAUUGAACUCGCUGUGAAGAUGCAGUGUACCCGCGGCAAGACGGAAAGACCCCGUGAACCUUUACUAUAGCUUGACACUGAACAUUGAGCCUUGAUGUGUAGGAUAGGUGGGAGGCUUUGAAGCGUGGACGCCAGUCUGCGUGGAGCCAACCUUGAAAUACCACCCUUUAAUGUUUGAUGUUCUAACGUUGGCCCCUUAUCGGGGUUGCGGACAGUGUCUGGUGGGUAGUUUGACUGGGGCGGUCUCCUCCCAAAGAGUAACGGAGGAGCACGAAGGUUAGCUAAUCCUGGUCGGACAUCAGGAGGUUAGUGCAAUGGCAUAAGCUAGCUUGACUGCGAGCGUGACGGCGCGAGCAGGUGCGAAAGCAGGUCAUAGUGAUCCGGUGGUUCUGAAUGGAAGGGCCAUCGCUCAACGGAUAAAAGGUACUCCGGGGAUAACAGGCUGAUACCGCCCAAGAGUUCAUAUCGACGGCGGUGUUUGGCACCUCGAUGUCGGCUCAUCACAUCCUGGGGCUGAAGUAGGUCCCAAGGGUAUGGCUGUUCGCCAUUUAAAGUGGUACGCGAGCUGGGUUUAGAACGUCGUGAGACAGUUCGGUCCCUAUCUGCCGUGGGCGCUGGAGAAUUGAGGGGGGCUGCUCCUAGUACGAGAGGACCGGAGUGGACGCAUCACUGGUGUUCGGGUUGUCAUGCCAAUGGCAUUGCCCGGUAGCUAAAUGCGGAAGAGAUAAGUGCUGAAAGCAUCUAAGCACGAAACUUGCCCCGAGAUGAGUUCUCCCUGAGACU